CGGGGCUCGAACUGAUGAACCGUGAGAUCAUGACCUGAGGGGAGAUCAAGAGUCAGACGCUUAACCGACUGGACCCCUGAGGCGACCCGCUGACAUGAGAUAUCUGGAGCCUGAGACCAUCUGGAAGACGAAGGAGGAGGAGGAGGAGGGGGAGAAGGAGGAAAGAAGCAGCAGCAAGGACACCUUGGAGGCCAAUGUUUGCAAGAGUCCUGCUUCUGCAAGCUCAGCACUCACAGCAUCCUCGGGGCCAUCCGACCAGAGCGAAGUCAUCUGACCACAAGGAAUGUUUCCCAAGCUUUCUAACUGGACAGCCACCUCAUAAGGGUAUGACUUUGAGGGGUUAAAACAAAACCCUAUGCGUCUCUUUCCUCUCCCUUCCAUCAGCCUUGGGGUGAAAAGGAACAAACGCAAAGUCACAUAUAGUCCUAUUUGGAAACGACCAGAAUAGGGAAGUCAUUCAGAAGAAAAGUCUAGAAAGUUCACUUUU
Molecule: long non-coding RNA, 487 nt
Organism: Lynx canadensis (Canada lynx)
Lineage: Eukaryota; Metazoa; Chordata; Mammalia; Carnivora; Felidae
Exons: 2
Source: RefSeq, a predicted model, not a curated record